UAUUUGUGUUUUGUGAUGUUUGAUGAUGAAUAAUGGAAGAUAUGUCUUAGAUUAACAUGUUUUGUCUUGGGAUUUUUGAUGAAUUUGAGUAUUUAGGGCUAAAUUGUGAAAAUAAAUUUUUGAGGGACUAAAAUGGGAAAUAAAUGAAAUACAUGGACUUGUAUGAAUACAAUGAAGAUUCGGCCUAACUAUGGUGUUGUGAGAUUUUGUGUAAUUUGUGUUUUACGCAAUAGGGACUAAAUUGCAAAAAGUGUAAAAUGUCUGGGGCAAAAUGGUAAUUUGCCCAUUUAUGUGUUUUUGGAUAAAAUUGAAUGAUUUGAUGAAUAAGAGGGUUAAAUUUGAAUAUGUUUAGAUCGCGAACUGAAGAAAACAGAAUUAGAUCGGGGAAAGUCGAAAGUAAUCGAAUAGUCGAUCGAGUCUGCGGAUAUCCGAGAUUUUGGAGACGCGUUACGAGCUCGGGGAUCAUCAGCAUAGUCCAUCACACUAUCGACUUCUUUUGGUAUUUUGUUAAAUGUUUGAACUCAAUCUUAUGGCAUGUAUAGGUUGAGCACGAUAUUAAUUACAUUUUGAUUGUAAAUUAUAAUAGCUAUGCGAAAGUAAUUAAAUUUUCAUGUUGUGAUCA
This is a long non-coding RNA of Gossypium raimondii (Peruvian cotton), 622 nucleotides long. RefSeq lists it as uncharacterized. Lineage: Eukaryota; Viridiplantae; Streptophyta; Magnoliopsida; Malvales; Malvaceae. The record is from RefSeq and is a predicted model, not a curated record. The transcript is spliced from 2 exons.